GUCAACAAGUUUUUGGCGCCAUUGCCGGGGACUCGAGGUUUAUUUGUCUUGUAGUGUGAAUUGAUUGAAUUUGACUUAAUUAUAAUUAUUUUUGUUUUUAUUUUUCUUUUGUUGCAUUUUGUCUUAUUUUCUUUAAAAGUGCUUUUAGGGUGUGUUUCUUGUGCAUGCAGGAGACAAUACAUACUAGAAGCAGGAAAAACCAACAACCUUUGCUAGAAGGUCUACCAUACGAGAAGAGGAACAGACGCCCUUUUUGUAAAAGAUCUAUUUCUCUAGAAGUUACUCCACCUGAG
Molecule: long non-coding RNA, 293 nt
Filed under: Vigna radiata
Lineage: Eukaryota; Viridiplantae; Streptophyta; Magnoliopsida; Fabales; Fabaceae
Description: long non-coding RNA (VRAD_LNC003622)
Source: RNAcentral